UACGUAGGGUGCAAGCGUUGUCCGGAAUUAUUGGGCGUAAAGAGCUCGUAGGCGGUCUGUCACGUCGGCUGUGAAAUCCCGAGGCUCAACCUCGGGUCUGCAGUCGAUACGGGCAGGCUAGAGGUAGGUAGGGGAGAAUGGAAUUCCCGGUGUAGCGGUGAAAUGCGCAGAUAUCAGGAGGAACACCGAUGGCGAAGGCAGGUCUCUGGGCAUUAACUGACGCUGAGGAGCGAAAGCAUGGGGAGCGAACAGG
This 253-nucleotide ribosomal RNA is filed under the name uncultured bacterium. RNAcentral's name for it is "partial 16S ribosomal RNA". It matches the Rfam family "Bacterial small subunit ribosomal RNA", at positions 524 to 776 of the family's 1533-position model. The record is from RNAcentral.